This is a non-coding RNA of Paramuricea clavata, 276 nucleotides long. Lineage: Eukaryota; Metazoa; Cnidaria; Anthozoa; Malacalcyonacea; Plexauridae. The record is from the annotation of a GenBank genome assembly.
GUAGGGACUAGCUAACAGUCGUGGGUCGUGGGUAGAAUGUCGUGGGUCGUGGGUAAAAGGGCGUGGGUCGUGGGUAAAAAGGCGUGGGUCGUGGGUAAAAAGGCGUGGGUCGUGGGUAAAAAGGCGUGGGUCGUGGGUAAAAAGGCGUGGGUCGUGGGUAAAAAGGCGUGGGUCGUGGGUAAAAAGGCGUGGGUCGUGGGUAAAAAGGCGUGGGUCGUGGGUAGAAAGGCGUGGGUCGUGGGUAAAAAGGCGUGGGUCGUGGGUAAAAAGGCGUGG